Molecule: unclassified non-coding RNA, 348 nt
Filed under: soil metagenome
Description: partial contains 5.8S ribosomal RNA, internal transcribed spacer 2, and large subunit ribosomal RNA
Rfam family: 5.8S ribosomal RNA (bases 1-120)
Source: RNAcentral
GAUGAAGAACGCAGCGAAAUGCGAUAAGUAGUGUGAAUUGCAGAAUUCAGUGAAUCAUCGAAUCUUUGAACGCACAUUGCGCCCCUCGGUAUUCUGUUGGGCAUGCCUGUCCGAGCGUCAUUUCAACCCUCAGGGCCCGUUCGCGGGAACUGGUGUUGGGGAUCGGCCUCCCCCCGGAGGCCGGCCCCGAAAUGCAGUGGCGGCUCUACCGCGAUCUCCUCUGUGUAGUAGCGAUACCUCGCAGCUGGAUAGUGGUGGUGCCACGCCGUAAAAUCCCAACUUUACCAAGGUUGACCUCGGAUCAGGUAGGAAUACCCGCUGAACUUAAGCAUAUCAAUAAGCGGAGGA